This 253-nucleotide ribosomal RNA is filed under the name uncultured bacterium. RNAcentral describes it as "partial 16S ribosomal RNA". It matches the Rfam family "Bacterial small subunit ribosomal RNA", at positions 524 to 776 of the family's 1533-position model. The record is from RNAcentral.
UACAGGGGGUGCAAACGUUGCUCGGAAUCAUUGGGCGUAAAGCGCACGUAGGCGGUCUGUUAUGUCGGAUGUGAAAGCCCUUGGCUCAACUGAGGAAGUGCAUCCGAAACUGGCAGGCUAGAGUACUAAAGAGGAUCGCGGAAUUCCCGGUGUAGAGGUGAAAUGCGUAGAUAUCGGAAGGAACACCGGUGGCGAAAGCGGCGCGCUGGACCUCUUCUGACGCUGAGGCGCGAAAGCCAGGGGAGCAAACGGG